UGACGUGAAUUUAUUUGUUUACAUGAUUUAAGAACUCAAAAAUUAGAUUUUAUAAUUGUGAAUACUUGCUCUUUGCAAAAUUACGUGUACUGAAUUUAUUCUGUUCAUUGCCAUAUAACCGGAACUUCGUCUUAUACUCGUACUCCCUAGUUAUGACUUAUGGCUGUAAAAAACUGGUUAGAAUGUGCAACACUAAUAUAUCUUAUUAGACAUUUAUUUUUAGAUUUAUUAUAAUGUUUUUGUUUUGUUUACUUAAGGAAACUUAAACAAGAUUAAAUAAUUUUGCAUUAGACUCGUAGUUACCUAACCUAUUCAUUAAACAUAAAAGUACAAAACUUAAAUUAUAUUUUAGAAGUUCUACUACCUGAACCAUUUAUUCUAAAAACACGUACAAAUAUUUAUACCAUCACAUUCCUAUCUAAAUGUCAAUAAAAAUAUUAAUUUUAUAAUCUACAAAUCGGUAUGUAUUUAUGGUGUGUGCACUUGCUUCGAUGGGUAGGAACUUAUUUUAGAUUUAAACAAAUAAUCCAUACUAAGACCAAUUUAGUUGAUUUCUUAGCAUUUCUUCCGGAAUCCAUUUCUUUUUUUAUAUAAUACCAGGAACAAUUCAACAUUAUACUAUGAGUAAUAUUGUAUAUACAAAUAUUUAUUCAACUGUUACGUCAAGAUACAUAAUAAUAGUAUCCAUACCGUUAAGCUUUGACUGAAAACAUUAUGAAAUAGUGAGGGCAUUUUUAUUGGAAAAUUCCGUUAAACUCGAUCGUGUGCAAUGCCGUUUUCCUUGACUGUAUUAUGCAAUUGUAUUGUUUUGAACUAAACACAGUUAUAGAUGAGUCCAGUAUAUGAGUACUUACUGUAUGGACAUCGUGUGUGCGAUACGAAAUGACGGACAGUAAUAUUAUUAUGUUUGCAAUAUUCUUGAUGACUUCUGUGUUGGCCGUUUCCAGUCAAUCAAAUCUUCAGUCUCAACUAUGGGUCACGAAAAUUUUGUCCGACACUCUGGACGAGUACACACCCGAUGGAGGUGUAGUUUGCAAGCGUCAUGGUCUGCAGUAUCGAGAAGGGUUGAGAGACCUUAAACUGUGGGCUACUCAAAUGUAUGACGCAUCAUCUAAAUUUCCUACGGGGAUCUUAGCUGGGAGAUCUUAUGACUUUGGAAAUUUUGACGAGUGUUUAAAAAUUGUUACUGAUGGUUUGGAAUUAAGUCCUCAAUAUUGUAUUAUAAGCAUUCGUUUUUUACCUACUGCAAAAUUGUAUCCAAAAUAUUACAACAUAACACCUACUAAUCUAAAUCCAACAGACUCUGUGUGGGAAUCGACAAAGAAUGACUCCGGUUUAAUAAAAAUGCAACGCAACGAAAUCAAUACGGCACUCUGUAUACCAUCGUCAUGUUCACAUUCAGAUAUACAGACAACAUUAUCACCUAAAAUAAUUUCUGCAUUUAAUAAACAUCAACUUAUUACCACUGUUACUGUGAAUUCGAUUUAUUGUACUACUCAACAAGAACUCCAACCACCAAAGUUAUUGGGAUAUCGAAUAUUUUGGGGAGUCUUGUUGCUUAUUAUAUUAUUGACUUUCAUCGGAUCAUUAUGUGACGUAUACAAUCAGGAAGAAAAUCAAUAUGAUUACAAGUCGUUUUUCAUGGCAUUCUCAUUUCCGGCUAACAUAAAACGUUUAUUUUUGGCCAGCAAUAAAACCGAAAAUCUAUCUUGUAUUGACAUUUUAAAGACUCAUGCAUGCGUUCUAAUCAUAAUUGGACAAAGAAUGUUGUACAGUACUGGACAGCCACUGCAAAAUCCUAAAAAGUUUGACGAGGUAGCUUUACAUUUAUCGUAUGCUAUGAUUCGCAAUGGAUCAUUGGUUGUCGAUUUCUUUUUCGUUUCAGUGGUUUCCUAACUUUUUAUUUUCUCUAUGAUGAACUAGUCAACACAAAAAUCAUAAAUGUACCAUUACUCUUGCUAUGGAGAUGGUUGAGAUUAAUGCCUGUAUAUGGUUUAAUGAUAGCGUUUCAUACAUUUGUUUUAUUACAUUUGGCUGAUGGACCAUUAUGGAAAAAAAUAGCUAUUCAAGAAUCAGAUCACUG
Myzus persicae (green peach aphid) is the source of this 2083-nucleotide RNA transcript. It is a transcript of the gene named nose resistant to fluoxetine protein 6-like, with no coding region annotated. The record is from RefSeq and is a predicted model, not a curated record. Lineage: Eukaryota; Metazoa; Arthropoda; Insecta; Hemiptera; Aphididae. The transcript is spliced from 7 exons.